RNAcentral lists this ribosomal RNA (896 nucleotides) under uncultured bacterium. RNAcentral's name for it is "bacterial SSU rRNA". It matches the Rfam family "Bacterial small subunit ribosomal RNA", at positions 32 to 918 of the family's 1533-position model. The record is from RNAcentral.
AACGCUAGCUACAGGCUUAACACAUGCAAGUCGAGGGGAAACGACAUCGAAAGCUUGCUUCCGAUGGGCGUCGACCGGCGCACGGGUGAGUAACGCGUAUCCAACCUGCCCACCACUUGGGGAUAACCUUGCGAAAGUAAGACUAAUACCCAAUGAUAUCUCUAGAAGACAUCUGAAAGGGAUUAAAGGUUUAUCGGUGAUGGAUGGGGAUGCGUCUGAUUAGCUUGUUGGCGGGGUAACGGCCCACCAAGGCGACGAUCAGUAGGGGUUCUGAGAGGAAGGUCCCCCACAUUGGAACUGAGACACGGUCCAAACUCCUACGGGAGGCAGCAGUGAGGAAUAUUGGUCAAUGGGCGAGAGCCUGAACCAGCCAAGUAGCGUGCAGGAUGACGGCCCUAUGGGUUGUAAACUGCUUUUAUAAGGGAAUAAAGUGAGUCUCGUGAGACUUUUUGCAUGUACCUUAUGAAUAAGGACCGGCUAAUUCCGUGCCAGCAGCCGCGGUAAUACGGAAGGUCCGGGCGUUAUCCGGAUUUAUUGGGUUUAAAGGGAGCGUAGGCCGGAGAUUAAGCGUGUUGUGAAAUGUAGACGCUCAACGUCUGCACUGCAGCGCGAACUGGUUUCCUUGAGUACGCACAAAGUGGGCGGAAUUCGUGGUGUAGCGGUGAAAUGCUUAGAUAUCACGAAGAACUCCGAUUGCGAAGGCAGCUCACUGGAGCGCAACUGACGCUGAAGCUCGAAAGUGCGGGUAUCGAACAGGAUUAGAUACCCUGGUAGUCCGCACGGUAAACGAUGGAUGCCCGCUGUUGGUCUGAAUAGGUCAGCGGCCAAGCGAAAGCAUUAAGCAUCCCACCUGGGGAGUACGCCGGCAACGGUGAAACUCAAAGGAAUUGACGGAA